RNAcentral lists this ribosomal RNA (567 nucleotides) under Pseudomonas aeruginosa. Its description in RNAcentral is "bacterial SSU rRNA". It matches the Rfam family "Bacterial small subunit ribosomal RNA", at positions 201 to 749 of the family's 1533-position model. The record is from RNAcentral. Lineage: Bacteria; Pseudomonadati; Pseudomonadota; Gammaproteobacteria; Pseudomonadales; Pseudomonadaceae.
AGAAAGUGGGGGAUCUUCGGACCUCACGCUAUCAGAUGAGCCUAGGUCGGAUUAGCUAGUUGGUGGGGUAAAGGCUUACCAAGGCGACGAUCCGUAACUGGUCUGAGAGGAUGAUCAGUCACACUGGAACUGAGACACGGUCCAGACUCCUACGGGAGGCAGCAGUGGGGAAUAUUGGACAAUGGGCGAAAGCCUGAUCCAGCCAUGCCGCGUGUGUGAAGAAGGUCUUCGGAUUGUAAAGCACUUUAAGUUGGGAGGAAGGGCAGUAAGUUAAUACCUUGCUGUUUUGACGUUACCAACAGAAUAAGCACCGGCUAACUUCGUGCCAGCAGCCGCGGUAAUACGAAGGGUGCAAGCGUUAAUCGGAAUUACUGGGCGUAAAGCGCGCGUAGGUGGUUCAGCAAGUUGGAUGUGAAAUCCCCGGGCUCAACCUGGGAACUGCAUCCAAAACUACUGAGCUAGAGUACGGUAGAGGGUGGUGGAAUUUCCUGUGUAGCGGUGAAAUGCGUAGAUAUAGGAAGGAACACCAGUGGCGAAGGCGACCACCUGGACUGAUACUGACACUGA